GAGAGAAGCUCGAGCUGAGAGAAGAGGAGCCGCGCACACAACUGCCCCUCGCUGGAAACUUAUCCCAGAGAAAAAAAUCAAUAUUCAAGAGUCCUGACCAUUUUUCAGAAGACUGGCCAUUUUCGUCUACAUGGAUGUCUGCAAGGCUUCUGACACAUGUCAUCCUGGUCUCUGAAAUGGAGAUAGAUGGAUUCGAUGGGUCAACCAUUCAGUUUAUAAGUUAUUGCCUCAUGUCUCUAUGUCCAGGUGGAGGCCAAUGGUGUCCCUCAGGAGUCUGUCUUAGGACCAGUGCUGUUUAAUACCUCUGUCAAUGACAUGGACAAUGGGAUUCAGUGCACCCUCAGCAAGUUUAUAGAUGACACCAAGCUGACUGGUGCAGUUGAUACAACAGAAGGAAGGGAUGCCACCCAAAGGGACCUGGAAAAAACUUGAGAAGUGGACCCAUGUGAACCUGAUGAGGUUCAACAGUGCAAAGUGCUGCACCUAUGCUGGGGAAAUCUCAAACAUCAGUACGGACUGGGAGAAGAAAUCAUUGAGAACAAUGCUGCAGAGGACUUGGGGGUAUUGUUGAAUGAAAAGCUCAACAUGAGCCAGCAGUGUGCACUUACAGCCCCAAAGGAUAACUGCAUCCUGGGUUGCAUCAAUAGAUGAGUAGCCAGAAGGUGGAGGGAGGUGAUUGUGCCCCCCUGCUCUGCCCUUGUGAGGCCCCGCUUGGAGUUCCCAGCAGAAGCAGUAUGUUGAUCUCUCAGAACAGGUCCAGAGGAGGGCCACGAAGAUGAUCAAGAGGCUGGAGCACCUCUCCUAUGAAGAAAGGCUGAGAGAGGUGGAACUGUUCAGCCUACAGAAGAGAAGUCUCUGGGGUGACCUCAUUACGGCCUUUGAAUACUUAAAGGGGACUCUCCUACAAAGUAUUAGAGAGUUGUGUUUUGUGUCCAGCUAUGUAUCAUUAUUGUAAAAACUCCUGGGGAUGGGGUAACUCUAUCAUUGUAUUUGGAGAUUUGUUGCACAUUUGCCAAGUCUGCAUGCCAUUGUACAACCACAUCUACCAUGAUCACCUUCUUUCUUUUCAAGUGCUCUUAUACAACUUUGUGUAAAAUAUAAGCAUCCUGGUUUGCAAAACAGGUUGCUUCUUGGUUUUAUCAGAUCAGCAACUUCGCUUUUAGCAACUUCCAAAAGGAAUUAAUGACCCCUCCCCAAAGCUUUCUGCCUUCUAUUUUUUUUUUUUUUUGUCUGAUCUAUAAUCAUCGUCCCCUUACUUCAACCUUCUUUCAGUCUCAAGUGCAAUACUUGUUUGCUAACACUUCAAUUGAGAAAAGGACUGCUUCCUCUUCUUUCUUAGCAGUCUUUCUUAUGGGCAUGUGAUGUCAACAGCCAACUAUAAAUUCCACCAUAAAAUCUUAGUUUAAUCAAAGUUAAGGGCCAAUAAAAUUCAAAAUCUGGGAGUUGCAGAGUUCUGGAAGUUCUAAGAAAAUGUGUGGUAUGAAAAAUAUAAAUAGUGUUCUUGAUUAAAUUUAAGUGAGUUUUGCCACUGUCAGUCCCAAUGUUGUUUAGAGACAAAUUCUGAAGUGACGUAAGUUUAUGUAGUCAUUAAUGUAAUAAUUAUGUUGUCAGCAAAGGAUGUAGUCAGUGAUUUUAGAAGAACAUACUUCUGUAAUGGUAUAAGGAGCUCACAAAAAAAAAAAAA
This is a non-coding RNA of Anas platyrhynchos (mallard), 1684 nucleotides long. The record is from RefSeq and is a predicted model, not a curated record. Lineage: Eukaryota; Metazoa; Chordata; Aves; Anseriformes; Anatidae.